RNAcentral lists this ribosomal RNA (1130 nucleotides) under Cyanobium sp. UMPCCC 1103. RNAcentral's name for it is "bacterial SSU rRNA". It matches the Rfam family "Bacterial small subunit ribosomal RNA", at positions 356 to 1501 of the family's 1533-position model. The record is from RNAcentral. Lineage: Bacteria; Bacillati; Cyanobacteriota; Cyanophyceae; Synechococcales; Prochlorococcaceae.
GGGGAAUUUUCCGCAAUGGGCGAAAGCCUGACGGAGCAACGCCGCGUGAGGGAUGAAGGCCUCUGGGCUGUAAACCUCUUUUCUCAGGGAAGAAGACAUGACGGUACUUGAGGAAUAAGCCACGGCUAAUUCCGUGCCAGCAGCCGCGGUAAUACGGGAGUGGCAAGCGUUAUCCGGAAUUAUUGGGCGUAAAGCGUCCGCAGGCGGCCUUUUAAGUCUGUUGUUAAAGCGUGGAGCUCAACUCCAUUUCGGCAAUGGAAACUGGAGGGCUGGAGUGUGGUAGGGGCAGAGGGAAUUCCCGGUGUAGCGGUGAAAUGCGUAGAUAUCGGGAAGAACACCAGUGGCGAAGGCGCUCUGCUGGGCCAUAACUGACGCUCAUGGACGAAAGCCAGGGGAGCGAAAGGGAUUAGAUACCCCUGUAGUCCUGGCCGUAAACGAUGAACACUAGGUGUCGGGGGAAUCGACCCCCUCGGUGUCGUAGCCAACGCGUUAAGUGUUCCGCCUGGGGAGUACGCACGCAAGUGUGAAACUCAAAGGAAUUGACGGGGGCCCGCACAAGCGGUGGAGUAUGUGGUUUAAUUCGAUGCAACGCGAAGAACCUUACCAGGGUUUGACAUCCUGCGAAUCCCUUGGAAACUAGGGAGUGCCUUCGGGAGCGCAGAGACAGGUGGUGCAUGGCUGUCGUCAGCUCGUGUCGUGAGAUGUUGGGUUAAGUCCCGCAACGAGCGCAACCCACGUCUUUAGUUGCCAGCAUUCAGUUGGGCACUCUAGAGAGACCGCCGGUGAUAAACCGGAGGAAGGUGUGGAUGACGUCAAGUCAUCAUGCCCCUUACAUCCUGGGCUACACACGUACUACAAUGCUACGGACAAAGGGCAGCAAACUCGCGAGAGCUAGCAAAUCCCAUAAACCGUGGCUCAGUUCAGAUCGUAGGCUGCAACUCGCCUACGUGAAGGAGGAAUCGCUAGUAAUCGCAGGUCAGCAUACUGCGGUGAAUACGUUCCCGGGCCUUGUACACACCGCCCGUCACACCAUGGAAGUUGGCCACGCCCGAAGCCGUUACUCCAACCCUUGUGGAGGAGGACGUCGAAGGUGGGGCUGAUGACUGGGGUGAAGUCGUAACAAGGUAACC